This 775-nucleotide ribosomal RNA is filed under the name uncultured Neocallimastigales. RNAcentral describes it as "partial large subunit ribosomal RNA". It matches the Rfam family "Eukaryotic large subunit ribosomal RNA", at positions 24 to 633 of the family's 3401-position model. The record is from RNAcentral. Lineage: Eukaryota; Fungi; Neocallimastigomycota; Neocallimastigomycetes; Neocallimastigales.
GUAGUCUCGCACAGAUGCAUAUCAAUAAGCGGAGGAAAAGAAACUAACGAGGAUUCCCCUAGUAACGGCGAGUGAAGCGGGAAGAGCUCAAAUUUGAAAUCUUAAAGGGUUUCCCUUUACGAAUUGUAGUUUAAAGAAGUGUUUUCCUGUUGAGGUUUUGGUAAAAGUUCUUUGGAAUAGGACAUCAUAGAGGGUGAGAAUCCCGUAUUUGACCUUUACUUUCAACUUUGUGAUACACUUUCAAAGAGUCGGAUUGUUUGGGAAUGCAGUCCAAAAUGGGUGGUAAAUUUCAUCUAAAGCUAAAUAUUGGCGAGAGACCGAUAGCGAACAAGUACCGUGAGGGAAAGAUGAAAAGAACUUUGAAAAGAGAGUUAAACAGUACGUGAAAUUGUCAAAAGGGAAGCGUUUGACACCAGUGUUGUUUUUCUGAAAAUCAAUUAAAGAACUGUUUAUGCUAAGCUGUUUAGACUUUAUCAGCUAACUGUUUAGUUUUGAGCUUUUCUUUAAUGCACUUUUCAGUUAACAAGUCAACAUCAAUUUCUUUUGCUGUAAAAAAGCUUGAGGAAGGUGGCUUGAGAUUCGUCUUAAGUGUUUAUAGCCUCUUGCCUAUGCAGUCGGAGAGAUUGAGGUCUGCAGCGUAGAUCCUUCGGGGCUAAAUGCAUUUGUGCUAAGUUAUAGCAUUUUAUAGACAACUUGUUGACUAUGAUUUGUCUUGUAGCUUACUCGCUUAUGUUAUUUUACCUACGCUUAGGAUGUUGAAGACUCUACAGAGAUA